GGCGGAUCACGAGCUACCCUCUCUCUCUGUAGCUUGGCUACAACAGACAGAGAAAUCGGAGUGCGGGUCACGUGACACGGGAAGGUGCGAGCGCGCCAUCGUUACCAUGGCAACAGCCUCACGCGCGCCCCUAGGUAAAUAUGCCGAGUGGUCAAUUCUGGGCUGUGUAGCAACACAUCUUUCACCUUGUCAAAGCAUUCUUCCUUUAAGUCUUGGAACCAAGAAGGAGCCAAACCUGGAGGCAGAGGACCUGCAUGUUAGGGUGAAGAGAGAAGGUGAGGAAUGGGGCUGAAGAGGAACCAUAGACGUAGUGCCAUCUGUGCCAGCAGCCAGGAGGCUUGGAAGUGGGGCAAAGCAAAGGACUCCCAGACACACUAAUAGCCAGAAGACUACAGUGGAAGGAAGGAACAGAGAGACUUCUUUUUCCAAAGGAAAUGGAGAGCAGAGGAGAGGGCCUUCAAAUGUAAUCAGACACGUAAGCCCCCAAACGGGGUCCAUGGACAGGUGAGGGGAGGUUGGCUUGUCUCCUAGAUGUUGCCUUUGGAUAUUGUGCACUCCUCCACCCCCAUCUUUCAUAUUAGUCUCAGACACUGAAGACAAUGCAGGAAGCGAUACACUGUAAUAUUACAGAAAAGACAAAAAUGAGAGAAAAACAAGGGAAGAAAAGGAGUGGGGGGGGGGGAAAGAUAUGUAGUAAGCAGAGCUGCUUAAACAGGACUUGACUCAUACAUUAAUUUACAAAUUUCACAAGUAUUUGUCAAAUACAAUUAUUUGACAGAUACUUUUUGUAUUAUCUGACCAGCUCUAAAGCUGGCCAUAUACUAUUCUGUGAAUACAUUAUUCAAUACAUACAAGUGAAAUUAAUCAAGUAAAUACAUAAAGUGAAAUUAAUCAAGUCAUAUAUUCAGAAAAUAUUUUUGAUACUCAACCAGCCCUUGUAGUAUGUUAAAUUUCAUUAAAAAUGUAUACAAAAGAAGUUUGAUUAGCAAUAUGUUGCAAUUAAAUACCGCAUACAACAAACAGUGCACAACUGUUUUAUUCCUCCAAAUUGCAUGGAGCAUUGGUCUUAUUUACCAUCGUAGAAGGAUUUGACCUCAGGUUAGUAGGCAAUGAUAGAUUUUUCAAGCCCAGUGUAUAAUCAGAACUUUGCAGUGAGCAUGGGCCAUGAUUAAAGAUUAAAAAAACCUGGGUGCCUAAAAAGUUAGGCAACCUUAUUUUCAGAAGUACUUCUAAAUCCAUAGUUAGCAACCUUAUUUUCAGAAGUACUGAACACCCACAAAUCCUAAUGAAAUCAAUGGGAACUGCUGGUUGCUUAGCACUUUUAAAAAUCAGGUCAAUUUUAGAUAGCUAACUACAGAUUUAAGACCUUACUUCAGGUAUCCAGUUUGGGAAAUCUUGGCCAUAAUGUUUAGAUGAGUUUAUGUUAGAUUUUGUUAGUUCUCUAGGGUUUUUUCCAUUUUACAGGUUCUAUCUGAAAUUUUUGUUUUAAAAAUGUAUUUAUUUCUUCGAAUUGAGCUUAAUUUCAGUUGAAUCCUUUGGCUGACAUUAAUGUUUUUAUUUAUGACUGUCUCAUUCCUUUGGUUGCGCACGUCCUUACAGCUCUGGAAUCAUCUGUUCGUGUGGCAUACCCAUGAUCAGAGGUAGAUUAAAGUCUCAUAGGGCCCUGGACCAGAGCAAAUGGGGGGACCCUGGCACCAGAACCGUGGCCCUGCCCCACCCCUUCUACCUGCAGCCCUACCCCUGUUCCACCCCUUUCCCAUAGUCCCAACCUAGUCCACCCUUUUCCUGAAGCCCUGCCACUGCUCUGCCCAUGGCCCCGCCUCGUUCCACCCCUUCCCUCCGCAGCCUUGCACCGAUUCCGCACAUGGCUUCACCCCACUCUACCUCUUCCCCCAUGACCCUGCUCUCUUCUUUCCAUCACCACUACCCCUGGGGCUGUGGCGGGGGUAGAUUUUUCCAGGGGCCCCAAAUUUGCUGGGGCCCCUAGGCAUAGACCCUUGGGCACGUGCAGUAAUCCGCUACUGCCCAUGAUAUUUUUGUUAUUAGUCCAAUCACCACUGCGGAUUCAUCCUCGUCAUAUAAUCACAAUUCAAUUUGGCAUAGUUAACGGUCUCCGCUGAGGAGGGUUUCAAAACUAGAAUAGCAAUGGUGCAGCAGAUCAGGGACAAAAGUGCACUAAUUGAGGUGUGUAAGGAAACUGGUACGUUGCUAGCCUGCAUUAUAUUUGGCUGUAGUUACUGAUAUCAGUCUCAUUUUCAUUGGCACUGAAAAUUGUCACAUUCACCAUCCAAGAAAACAUAAUCGUUUAGCUCUAUGAACAAACACAGCUAUUUCAAUUUUUUGUCUGGAUGGGUUGCUGUAGGGCGGGAGAGGAUGAACAAGGAGAAUUUAUUCAAAGAAUGGAAAAUCACAACUGUUAUCAGCAGGAAAAUAAGGGAUCUACACAACAUUGUUUGAUUUACAGUCCUUCACAUAAAGAUGAAGUGGCAAGUAUGCAAGAAAUAUAGCAACCUGUCCUUUCACAUGGGCUCAGAUCCUGCAAACACUAUGUCCACACAUAAUUUGACUUCAAUGGAACUAAUCACACAAGAAAAGCUAUACACAUGCUUAAGUGUUUGCAGGAUCAGGAUCUAGGUGAUCAUCAUAACCCAAAGGCAAAAUGCACAUAUUGAAACCUGUAACCUGGCCAUACUCAGUAUUCUCAACUUGCUUAACAGGUUUCACAGAAACAAAGUACAUCACUUAUACCAAUCAUUUACUGUACCAAAGUUUUAUGUCUAAAAACAGGUUCUAUAGAUCAGAAGCUGACCAAAAUUUUAAAAGGCAACAAUUAUGUUUUUUGGGACUACAAGUGAACAAUGCUAAAAUAUUACUGACUACAAAUACAAGCCCUCUUGAUGAAAUCUGGGGGUUCCUCUGGCACAGUAAUAUCAUUUUCUCUCUCUUCAUAGGAGGAUAGGAUUAAGCUGUGGGGGUUGGGGGAGAAUAGCAUUCUGUUUGGCAUUACUAUAGAUGUAUAUUUUGUUCACUAAUAAAAGUAGCAAUUAGAUUCAUAAAGGCCAGAAGGGAUGAUCUGAUCUUCUUGUCUGAACUGCUGGAUACCAGAGGCCAUUAAAUUUCACUCAGAUACCCCUGUACUGAGCAUAACAAUUUGUGUUUGAUUAAAGCAUAACUUCCAGAAGGCAUCUAAUCUAGACUCGAAGACAUCGAGUGAUGGAGAAUCCACUACUUCCCUUGUUAGUUUUCUCCAGUGAUUAAUCACACACUUAAAAAUUUCUGCCUAAUUUCUUCUUUGAAUAUGUCUGGUUUCAGCUUCCAGACACUGGUUCUUGUUCUCUCUUUCUCUGCUAGAUUAAAGAGCCCUUUAGUACCUGGUAUUUUCUCCAUGUGAAGGUCCUUAUACACUGUAAUCAAGUCACCUCUGAAUCUUCUGUUUGAUAAACUAAAUAGAUUGUGAGCUCUCAAAGUCUCUCACUGUAAGACAUUUUCUCCACCCUCUCCAAUUUUUCCACAUCCUUUUAAAAAUGCCAACACCUGAACAGUACUCAUUAUUCGAGAACUAGUCUCACUAAUGCCGUAUAUUUGUUUAUUAAUUAUUGCUGUUAUUUAGAAACUACUUCAUUGCUGCACUACUGCUGAAAUAACAGCUGAAGCUAAAUAUCUGAAUUACUCUGUUCACAAUAAAACUUAAGAGUAAUAUUUACCUAUGCCUUAAACCACGGCUCUGUAAGAACUAUUGGAUUAAGAUUUAAGGGCUUCUCUACACUACAAAGUUAAGCCAACAUUAGGCAGCUUACGUUGAACUAUGGAGUUGUACACACUGCAAUGCUCCUCCUGUUGCUUUAACUUUCUUGCUAUGCUGACGAGCAGCAUAGAGGUUAGGACGACCUAGUUAGAAUGACGCAGCGUCAGUGUAGAUACUGCAUUGCAUUAUACUGCAUUAUGUCACCCUAAGUGGCCUCCAGGAGGUAUUCCACAAUGGCGACCGUGACUGCUCUGAUCACUGUUUUGAUCUCCACUGCCCUGCAGUCAGGUACACAGAUAUGUGCUCCUCCCCUUUUAAAGCCCCAUGGAGUUUUGACAUUGCUCUUCCUGUUUGCUCAGUGUGAAGAGCUCACAUAGCUAGAGCCCUGCUCAGAUACAAAAUUUGUAUCCACAUCCAAUCCAUGAUCCACAAAAAUGAUAUAAAAUGGAUAUCCGUGGAGUUGCAGGGCUCUGCACAUAGCGACUGCCCAGAUGAGCAUGCCAGCUCCAUGCAGCAAACAUGGUGCUGCCUGGAGUACACAGAAGGUGGAUUUCCUGAGUCUGUGGGGAGAAAUCACUGCAGGGAAGCUGGGGGAGAGAAUCGCAAGGACCUCCCUACAUUCCCCUUCCCCCCAUCCCCACCUGCCCAUUCCAUGUAUCUUCCCGGGCCACAGAAAUACCUAAGGCACUCCACCCCCUGGGAGAUUAAACAGGACAGCUGCACAUACCCCAAGGAGGCUCUCACAGCUGGGUGUAUGUGCUUGUGAAUUCCCUUUUCCAUGCCCUUUAAAGAUACGAAAGUUUCCCCUGCAUGUAUGAAGUUUACCUCAGUAUUACACAGGUAUGUUUGCAUGGGUGUGGAAUAAAAAUCUACUUUUGGAAACUGAAUUUAUCUUUAUUAUUCUCCAUCACAUCGUGGCUGCUGCUAACAUUCAAGACAAUAGCAAUAGGUUCACACGCAUUAUAAGAGUUGGGCUCACGCAGCAAUCAUACACGAUUUAUAGCGUGGUGCAAACAAACAAUGCCAGGCUCGGCACACUACAGGAACACACAUUACUCUGCGUCAGUGUUAAAAUGUUCCUUCACAGCAUCUGUUGGAUCAUAUUAAAGAAGUUCUGUAUUAAAAUCACAAAUGAGUUUGAUUCACCAUAGUUUAAAUUUCAGGGUAUUACUAAUUAAGUGGUCUCUUGGUUUUUGGUACUGUUUCUCUCCCUC
Molecule: long non-coding RNA, 4959 nt
Organism: Chelonia mydas (Green sea turtle)
Lineage: Eukaryota; Metazoa; Chordata; Testudines; Cheloniidae
Exons: 3
Source: RefSeq, a predicted model, not a curated record